UGAACGUCAACUUGAGUGGCCUCUUUUUAAUCAAUUGCGAUACGCCAAUAAUUGCAAGUGCAAGUGCAAAGACAAAACGGGCAAAGACAAGGUUAGCCGCUGAAAAAGCCGUCUUGGCUUUAAAUCAAAACAAGUGCAGCGAAAAAGGCAGGCAAGAAAAGCAACAAAACUGCACAGAAAAAAUUGAAACCCAAUUUUGUUGCAGUUAACAACUCUCAGAUCCACUUCAAGUGCGACUUUUAAUUUACAUGUUCGUGUCCGUAAUGGAAAAUCGCAAUUUUUCAACAACUUCAAGGAGCUGCGAAUGAACUGGAAUGAAAUGUUUAUCAAUUAGCGUGCAAAAAUGCCGUGGCAUUUCCCUGAGAAAUUUCGGCUUCAAUUUGGAAUUCGGCUUGGAUUGGAUUCUUCCAUUAGAGCCGCUGUCAAUUAGAGCGGGAUGUCUGCGAUGUCAGCCAGAUAUAUGGGGCCCAAACGGAAUGCACUCGAUCUUUGGAUUGGAGCCCAAGGCCAGCUAGCGACCCCCUCCCACUUUUCGUUCAACUGAAAACUGCAAGCGCCGAAAUGGGGAAAUGGUGAAAUAAAAGCAGAACCCACCCAUUUGAACAUUGAACCAAAUCGAACCGAAUUGCACAGGAACCGAAGCCAAUAAACAAAGACAUCAAUGGCCCAGAGGCUAUAGCUGCGCGAUUCUUCAGCGAUUGGUGCUUCUUGUGCGUCUUUUGAAUUAGAUGCAGUCCCAUAAAUAAUAAUUCGACAGCGAAUGCAAAGUGGAAAAGCAAAUACUUGCCAUGGCGACAAAUGCUUAGCGCAGCGGCAGUGGGCGAACGAAAGAGAGGGGUAUAUUGGCGAAGAAAGAAAGAAGAGAGAGAGGUAGGUAGAGCCACUGCUUGGCACACGUUUGCCCAGAGACCCAGAGCAAUCAAUAAUCCGAAGCGUAGAGCCAGCGGGGAAACGCGGGGAUCGAACUUAGAUCGCAAUGAAUCCCCGCACUGGAAGAGUUCAGUGCGAAGAACAGCGGCGAAGAGAGGUCCGAAGACUGUUGACUAGAGGCACAGGAGGAAGGCGGCUGCAAGAGAGGUCCCCAGAAUGGUGGGUUGGAGGGUUUAGAACCUGUUCAACCAACGGGCCGCACAUUAGGAGGUAGUUGAGAAGUAAGGCAGAUUCUUCUGUCUUUUUUUCCUGCUGGUAUCCUUUUGGGUUCGGAAGCUGCAGAUAAUGUGCCAGAAAGGGGGGGAUUCAACAUAAAAACUACCCUGUAUGUUGAUUUCUUACUUAUUUUUCACUCUAAUAUAAUCAGUAUUUUGUGCACAACGAAGAAAAUAAUUGUCCAAAUAUGGUGUGUCAUACACCGUUGAAUUUGUUAUCAAAUUUGCAAUAAAGAUGCAUUCCAGUCUAGAAAUGUAAAAUUUUGACAAUUUUUCGCAAAAAUUUA
Molecule: long non-coding RNA, 1432 nt
Organism: Drosophila mauritiana
Lineage: Eukaryota; Metazoa; Arthropoda; Insecta; Diptera; Drosophilidae
Exons: 5
Source: RefSeq, a predicted model, not a curated record